Molecule: non-coding RNA, 21 nt
Filed under: Arabidopsis thaliana (thale cress)
Lineage: Eukaryota; Viridiplantae; Streptophyta; Magnoliopsida; Brassicales; Brassicaceae
Source: RNAcentral
AUGUCGUUUUCACAGAGUGUC